Camelina sativa (false flax) is the source of this 1325-nucleotide non-coding RNA. NCBI's taxonomy places the organism in Eukaryota, Viridiplantae, Streptophyta, Magnoliopsida, Brassicales, Brassicaceae. The record is from RefSeq and is a predicted model, not a curated record.
UCUUCUACUUUCUCUCUCUCUCAUUUGCAGUCUCUCCCAAAUAUGGAUUUACAGAUUUUUUUUUUUUGCUUUUUGUCGAUAAAGUUGAAAAGAUGAUAGAGGAAGAGAAGAAGACAAACAAAAAUUGUUCAAGCGUGUGUAAGAGAUUUACAAAAAACAAAAACUGAUGGCAGCAAGAUGAGAAGAGAAGAUAUUGGUGUGACGAUGGUGGUCUUAGCGUUAGUGUUUUUGCAGUUUACGUCGGCUGAUUUCAUGGAAGGAUUCAAUUCCACCGUCUUUGCAUCAAGUCAGAGCCACUCUCUUCAUUUGCCCCAUCUCUUUCAUCUCCGCUUGCUUACAUGGGAUCAGUUGGAAAUAAUAAAUACAAAGAUCUAAUGAAGAAGGAUGUACAACAGGUUGUGGCAAUGUUCACCAUCAUCGCAAUGAGUCGUCGUCAACUGGAACUUGCGAUGCUUGUGUUGUAAUGGAGAAAACCUGCUCAAUGGUCUUGGAAAACCAGCAGCAAAAUUCAAAUUAUAAUGAUUGGAGUUGUGAUCGAAGACAAAGAAUUUGUCGAAUCUUCAUGAACGGAGUGAAGUGAAUGGCCGGGAAAUUCUCUUACAGUCUUAGAUGUUCCUUGUGGUCAGAGCAUCUCGGCCUUCACGCCGGGGAGAUGAAAAUAAUCGAAGAACCGAUCAAAGAUGCAACAUACAAGGACUUGUGGAUGGCAACAGCUAAGAAGAACGCUGACAUCUACAACCAAGUCUUCUCUUGCAUUCCUAAUGAGCAUAUACGCUCAAGAACUGCCUUGAGAGAGAACAUGUCUCUUAUAAAAGAUAACUAGAGGCUGAAUGAGACAAGAGGUCACCUUGUGUGUUUCCCAUUACAGUUCAUGUGUCUGAUGAUUAAUUGGUCUUGACAUUUCCAGACAUGUUGGUGAUCACCGCUAUAGGCACUCUUAGAAUAUUUUGUGGUAAUCAAUAGAUGAGGCUUUAAAUACAAUGUUUUCCAGCUGAGGAACGGGAGAGAUGUAGAAGAAGAUAGUACUUCAUAUGAGAGUUUCAAAUUAAGGAGAUAAAGAUUGGAAUUAACAAUAUUGGUUCGAGAAAUUAUAGGUUUUAAUUUCGAAGCUGCAAGGUUUGGUUUGAGAAUAUGAAACACUACCUUCUCUGCAAAUUUUUAAUGAGAUGUAGUUUUUUUCUUAUCAAUGUUUGGGAUUUGAGUAGUUGUUUAGUUUGAGACUUUGAGUAGUUGCAAUUUUUCAUUUUGAGACUUGAGUUCAAUCUAUCGAAUAUAAAUUAUGUAAAUAUUGUCAAAUUAUAUUUAUCGAAGACAAAUUGUAUUGA